GUGCUUGCUUUGGCAGCAUAUAUACUAAAAUUGGAAAGAUAUAGAGAAGAUUAACAUGGCCCCUGCUCAAGGAUGACACACAAAUUUGUGAAGUAUGCCAUAAUUUA
Dromiciops gliroides (monito del monte) is the source of this 107-nucleotide small nuclear RNA. Lineage: Eukaryota; Metazoa; Chordata; Mammalia; Microbiotheria; Microbiotheriidae. The record is from RefSeq and is a predicted model, not a curated record.